Molecule: ribosomal RNA, 253 nt
Filed under: uncultured bacterium
Lineage: Bacteria
Description: partial 16S ribosomal RNA
Rfam family: Bacterial small subunit ribosomal RNA
Source: RNAcentral
UACGGGGGGGGCAAGCGUUGUUCGGAAUUACUGGGCGUAAAGGGCUCGUAGGCGGCCAACUAAGUCAGACGUGAAAUCCCCAGGCUCAACCUGGGAACUGCGUCUGAUACUGGAUGGCUUGAAUUCGGGAGAGGGAUGCAGAAUUCCAGGUGUAGCGGUGAAAUGCGUAGAUAUCUGGAGGAAUACCGGUGGCGAAGGCGGCAUCCUGGACCGACAUUGACGCUGAGGAGCGAAAGCUAGGGUAGCAAACGGG